RNAcentral lists this ribosomal RNA (253 nucleotides) under uncultured bacterium. Its description in RNAcentral is "partial 16S ribosomal RNA". It matches the Rfam family "Bacterial small subunit ribosomal RNA", at positions 524 to 776 of the family's 1533-position model. The record is from RNAcentral.
UACAGAGGUCCCAAGCGUUGUUCGGAUUCACUGGGCGUAAAGGGUGCGUAGGCGGUGAGGUAAGUCUGUUGUGAAAUCUCCGAGCUUAACUCGGAAACUGCAGUGGAUACUAUCUAACUAGAGGAAUGGAGGGGAGACUGGAAUACUUGGUGUAGCAGUGAAAUGCGUAGAUAUCAAGUGGAACACCAGUGGCGAAGGCGAGUCUCUGGACAUUUCCUGACGCUGAGGCACGAAAGCUAGGGGAGCAAACAGG